AUUUGAAGGAGGAGAAACUAACAAAUCCAAAGGGCUUGAGGUGGGAACAUACUUGGCAAUUUUAAAGAAUAGCAAGAAGGCCAUGUGGCUGGAGUGGGGCAUGUGAAGGCAGAGAGUUAGGAGAUGCCUUCAGAGAGUUAGGCUGGGGCUGAUCCUUGUGGGCGAUGAUAGAGAUUUAGGAUUUUAUUCUCAGUGUCAUGUGAAAACAUUGGAUGGUUGAGGUGGGCAUUAAUGUAAUAUGAUUUAAGUUUUAAAAUAUUCUGGAAAUUAAGUGUAGCAUAUUGAGCAUACAUAUUUAUCUUUUGUGCAAUAAACAUAUAAAGACAAAGAGAACUAGAAAGGAAGUCACAACGCGGAAGAAGUAUUCAACAACAUUUUGAAAUCUAGAAAUAUAGAAAAGACCUAACAGAUUUAACAGACUAGAGAAAGUUGAAACCUAAGAGAAGUGGGGGAGAGAGAGGCUGUUAUAGGUUGAAUUGUGUCCCCUAAAAGAUGAUGUGUUGUGGUCCUAACCUCUGCUACCUCAGAACAUGACCUUAUUUAGAACAAGAGUCUUUGCAGAUUUAGUCAUGUUAACAUGAAGUCAUUAGGUGGGCCUUAAUCCAAUAUAACUGAUGUCUUCAUAAAGGAAGAAAUUUGGGUACAGAGACAGACAAGCACCAAGAGAAGAUGAUGUGAAGAAGCACAGCGAGAACACCAUGUGAAAAUGGAGGACUGGAAUGAAGCAUCUACAAGCCAGGAAAUGUCUGAGGCUACCAGAAGCCAGGAGAGAGGCCUGGAACAGAUCCUGCACUAGAACCUUCAAAGAGAGCAUGGUCCUGCUGACAUGUUGAUUUUGGACUUCUGGCCUCCAGAGCUGUGAGAAUAAAUUUCAGUUGUUUUAAGCCAUCCAGUUUUUGGUACCUUAUUAUGGCAGCCCUAGCAAACUAAUAUAGACUCCGAUAAGAAUUCAACUGAUAUAUGCCAUGAAAUUUAGUAUAUCAUCAGGACUGGGAGAAACUGGUAACUUUAUAGGUGAAUAUGAAAG
This 1027-nucleotide long non-coding RNA is filed under the name Homo sapiens (human). Its description in RNAcentral is "long non-coding RNA NONHSAT198704.1". The record is from RNAcentral. Lineage: Eukaryota; Metazoa; Chordata; Mammalia; Primates; Hominidae.